This 29-nucleotide non-coding RNA is filed under the name Rattus norvegicus (Norway rat). The record is from RNAcentral. Lineage: Eukaryota; Metazoa; Chordata; Mammalia; Rodentia; Muridae.
UAGAAAGUUACCUGGGUUUUGUCAUGGUA